GAUGAACGCUCGCGGCGUGCCUAAUACAUGCAAGUCGAGCGAACAGACGAGGAGCUUACUCCUCUGACGUUAGCGGCGGACGGGUGAGUAACACGUGGAUAACCUACCUAUAAGACUGGGAUAACUUCGGGAAACCGGAGCUAAUACCGGAUAACAUGUUGAACCGCAUGGUUCAACAGUGAAAGACGGUCUUGCUGUCACUUAUAGAUGGAUCCGCGUCGCAUUAGCUAGUUGGUAAGGUAACGGCUUACCAAGGCAACGAUGCGUAGCCGACCUGAGAGGGUGAUCGGCCACACUGGAACUGAGACACGGUCCAGACUCCUACGGGAGGCAGCAGUAGGGAAUCUUCCGCAAUGGGCGAAAGCCUGACGGAGCAACGCCGCGUGAGUGAAGAAGGUCUUCGGAUCGUAAAACUCUGUUAUUAGGGAAGAACAAAUGUGUAAGUAACUAUGCACGUCUUGACGGUACCUAAUCAGAAAGCCACGGCUAACUACGUG
Molecule: ribosomal RNA, 497 nt
Filed under: uncultured bacterium
Lineage: Bacteria
Description: partial 16S ribosomal RNA
Rfam family: Bacterial small subunit ribosomal RNA
Source: RNAcentral